UAUGACGCCAGUCGUAUCGCCGGGUAGCUAUAUACGGAAGAGAUAACCGCUGAAAGCAUCUAAGCGGGAAACUCGCCUCAAGAUGAGACUUCCCUGGGCACUUGAUGCCCCUGUAGGGUCGUGGAAGACUACCACGUUGAUAGGUCAGGUGUGGAAGUCCAGUAAUGGAUUAAGCUAACUGAUACUAAUUGCCCGUGAGGCUUGAUCCUAUAACAUUAG
This 219-nucleotide ribosomal RNA is filed under the name Gallionellales bacterium RIFOXYD2_FULL_52_7. Its description in RNAcentral is "partial 23S ribosomal RNA". It matches the Rfam family "Bacterial large subunit ribosomal RNA", at positions 2722 to 2925 of the family's 2925-position model. Lineage: Bacteria; Pseudomonadati; Pseudomonadota; Betaproteobacteria; Nitrosomonadales. The record is from RNAcentral.